UCGGCUUAGAGUUUGAUCAUGGCUCAGAGCGAACGCUGGCGGCAUGCUUAACACAUGCAAGUCGCACGAAGGUUUCGGCCUUAGUGGCGGACGGGUGAGUAACGCGUAGGAAUCUGUCCACGGGUGGGGGAUAACUUUGGGAAACUGAAGCUAAUACCGCAUGAUACCUGAGGGUCAAAGGCGCAAGUCGCCUGUGGAGGAGCCUGCGUUUGAUUAGCUAGUUGGUGGGGUAAUGGCCUACCAAGGCGAUGAUCAAUAGCUGGUUUGAGAGGAUGAUCAGCCACACUGGGACUGAGACACGGCCCAGACUCCUGCGGGAGGCAGCAGUGGGGAAUAUUGGACAAUGGGGGCAACCCUGAUCCAGCAAUGCCGCGUGUGUGAAGAAGGUUUUCGGAUUGUAAAGCACUUUCGGCGGGGACGAUGAUGACGGUACCCGCAGAAGAAGCCCCGGCUAACUUCGUGCCAGCAGCCGCGGUAAUACGAAGGGGGCUAGCGUUGCUCGGAAUGACUGGGCGUAAAGGGCGUGUAGGCGGUUUGUACAGUCAGAUGUGAAAUCCCCGGGCUUAACCUGGGAGCUGCAUUUGAUACGUGCAGACUAGAGUGUGAGAGGGGGUUGUGGAAUUCCCAGUGUAGAGGUGAAAUUCGUAGAUAUUGGGAAGAACACCGGUGGCGA
This 673-nucleotide ribosomal RNA is filed under the name uncultured Acetobacter sp. RNAcentral describes it as "bacterial SSU rRNA". It matches the Rfam family "Bacterial small subunit ribosomal RNA", at positions 1 to 718 of the family's 1533-position model. The record is from RNAcentral. Lineage: Bacteria; Pseudomonadati; Pseudomonadota; Alphaproteobacteria; Acetobacterales; Acetobacteraceae.